GAAAAUAUGAAAUUUUACAAAAUUUAGUUUGAUCGGUUUAAAACCGAAUCGAACCGAUAUUUAUCAGCUUGGUUCGGUUUGGUUUUCUCUUAAUAAUCAGUUUGGUUCGAUUUUUUAAAUUUUUUAUCUUUAGUUUUCGGUUUUAUUGGUUUGGUUCGGUUCAGAAUCGAACCGACCGUUUGCACACUCCUAUAUUGGAGGAUAGUUUCUCCAAGUAUAUUACAGAGCUACUUGCUUUAAUGGCUUUAAGUAAUACUAGGUUCUCUCCUUUGAGUUGGUAUAAUGUGUAGUGCUCCAACAUACUUUUUUUUUUUUUCAACAAGGACUUCACUGCUUGCUCCUUAUGUUGGUCUUUUUUUGUAUCAUAUGCAAUUUUAAUUUGAAAUAUGCAUUAGCAUUCUGAGUGUGAACUUUGUAAGUUUUGAAUACUUGCUUGAUCCUGGCUAAGUGGCUAUGGUUUAAUGGCUUAAAAGUUAGGGAAAAUUACAAAGUAGUCCCUAUAUUUGGAUAAAUUUUAACAACUGUCCCUGAACUUAUAUAAUUGUAACACUACAGUCCUUAACUUUAAAAUAUAAUAUAAAACCUCAUAAACUUUCAAAUUUUACACAGUAAAAUCCCUC
Molecule: unclassified non-coding RNA, 620 nt
Filed under: Hevea brasiliensis (rubber tree)
Lineage: Eukaryota; Viridiplantae; Streptophyta; Magnoliopsida; Malpighiales; Euphorbiaceae
Source: RNAcentral